GGCCAGGUAGCUCAGUUGGUACGAGCGUCCGCCUGAAAAGCGGAAGGUCGACGGUUCGAUCCCGUCCCUGGCCACCA
This 77-nucleotide transfer RNA is filed under the name Pseudonocardiaceae bacterium. Its description in RNAcentral is "tRNA-Phe". It matches the Rfam family "tRNA". From Rfam's summary of the family: Transfer RNA (tRNA) molecules are approximately 80 nucleotides in length. Their secondary structure includes four short double-helical elements and three loops (D, anti-codon, and T loops). Further hydrogen bonds mediate the characteristic L-shaped molecular structure. tRNAs have two regions of fundamental functional importance: the anti-codon, which is responsible for specific mRNA codon recognition, and the 3' end, to which the tRNAs corresponding amino acid is attached (by aminoacyl-tRNA synthetases). tRNAs cope with the degeneracy of the genetic code in two manners: having more than one tRNA (with a specific anti-codon) for a particular amino acid; and 'wobble' base-pairing, i.e. permitting non-standard base-pairing at the 3rd anti-codon position. RNAcentral also lists the same sequence under 4 other names. The record is from RNAcentral. Lineage: Bacteria; Bacillati; Actinomycetota; Actinomycetes; Pseudonocardiales; Pseudonocardiaceae.